UUAAAGAGAGUUUGAUCCUGGCUCAGGACGAACGCUGGCGGCGUGCCUAAUACAUGCAAGUCGAACGAACGGAGGAAGAGCUUGCUCUUCCAAAGUUAGUGGCGGACGGGUGAGUAACACGUGGGCAACCUGCCUGUAAGUUGGGGAUAACUCCGGGAAACCGGGGCUAAUACCGAAUGAUAGAGUGUGGCGCAUGCCACGCUUUUGAAAGAUGGUUUCGGCUAUCGCUUACAGAUGGGCCCGCGGUGCAUUAGCUAGUUGGUAGGGUAAUGGCCUACCAAGGCAACGAUGCAUAGCCGACCUGAGAGGGUGAUCGGCCACACUGGGACUGAGACACGGCCCAGACUCCUACGGGAGGCAGCAGUAGGGAAUCUUCCGCAAUGGACGAAAGUCUGACGGAGCAACGCCGCGUGUAUGAAGAAGGUUUUCGGAUCGUAAAGUACUGUUGUUAGAGAAGAACAAGGAUAAGAGUAACUGCUUGUCCCUUGACGGUAUCUAACCAGAAAGCCACGGCUAACUACGUGCCAGCAGCCGCGGUAAUACGUAGGUGGCAAGCGUUGUCCGGAUUUAUUGGGCGUAAAGCGCGCGCAGGCGGUCUUUUAAGUCUGAUGUGAAAGCCCCCGGCUUAACCGGGGAGGGUCAUUGGAAACUGGAAGACUGGAGUGCAGAAGAGGAGAGUGGAAUUCCACGUGUAGCGGUGAAAUGCGUAGAUAUGUGGAGGAACACCAGUGGCGAAGGCGACUCUCUGGUCUGUAACUGACGCUGAGGCGCGAAAGCGUGGGGAGCAAACAGGAUU
RNAcentral lists this ribosomal RNA (796 nucleotides) under Listeria monocytogenes. Its description in RNAcentral is "bacterial SSU rRNA". It matches the Rfam family "Bacterial small subunit ribosomal RNA", at positions 1 to 779 of the family's 1533-position model. The record is from RNAcentral. Lineage: Bacteria; Bacillati; Bacillota; Bacilli; Caryophanales; Listeriaceae.